This 497-nucleotide ribosomal RNA is filed under the name uncultured bacterium. Its description in RNAcentral is "partial 16S ribosomal RNA". It matches the Rfam family "Bacterial small subunit ribosomal RNA", at positions 28 to 507 of the family's 1533-position model. The record is from RNAcentral.
GAUGAACGCUGGCGGCGUGCCUAAUACAUGCAAGUCGAGCGAACAGACGAGGGGCUUGCUCCUCUGACGUUAGCGGCGGACGGGUGAGUAACACGUGGAUAACCUACCUAUAAGACUGGGAUAACUUCGGGAAACCGGAGCUAAUACCGGAUAAUAUAUUGAACCGCAUGGUUCAAUAGUGAAAUACGGUUUUGCUGUCACUUAUAGAUGGAUCCGCGCCGCAUUAGCUAGUUGGUAAGGUAACGGCUUACCAAGGCAACGAUGCGUAGCCGACCUGAGAGGGUGAUCGGCCACACUGGAACUGAGACACGGUCCAGACCCCUACGGGAGGCAGCAGUAGGGAAUCUUCCGCAAUGGGCGAAAGCCUGACGGAGCAACGCCGCGUGAGUGAUGAAGGUCUUCGGAUCGUAAAACUCUGUUAUUAGGGAAGAACAAAUGUGUAAGUAACUAUGCACGUCUUGACGGUACCUAAUCAGAAAGCCACGGCUAACUACGUG